Molecule: ribosomal RNA, 497 nt
Filed under: uncultured bacterium
Lineage: Bacteria
Description: partial 16S ribosomal RNA
Rfam family: Bacterial small subunit ribosomal RNA
Source: RNAcentral
GAUGAACGCUGGCGGCGUGCCUAAUACAUGCAAGUCGAGCGAACAGACGAGGAGCUUGCUCCUUUGACGUUAGCGGCGGACGGGUGAGUAACACGUAGGUAACCUACCUAUAAGACUGGGAUAACUUCGGGAAACCGGAGCUAAUACCGGAUAAUAUUUCGAACCGCAUGGUUCGAUAGUGAAAGAUGGCUUUGCUAUCACUUAUAGAUGGACCUGCGCCGUAUUAGCUAGUUGGUAAGGUAACGGCUUACCAAGGCAACGAUACGUAGCCGACCUGAGAGGGUGAUCGGCCACACUGGAACUGAGACACGGUCCAGACUCCUACGGGAGGCAGCAGUAGGGAAUCUUCCGCAAUGGGCGAAAGCCUGACGGAGCAACGCCGCGUGAGUGCUGAAGGUCUUCGGAUCGUAAAACUCUGUUAUUAGGGAAGAACAAACGUGUAAGUAACUGUGCACGUCUUGACGGUACCUAAUCAGAAAGCCACGGCUAACUACGUG